AUGCGAGGUAACGUUGUUUCAAGUGAUAUUAUUUAUUGCUAUAAAUUAACAAAUAUAUAUACAUAAAAAUCUAUACUCCAUUACAAAGAAAAAUUAUUUUAGGACAGAAACAACAAUCAGAAUACUACAAGCAGUUAGCAUCAGUAACAAUCAAGAGUAACCAGCGACAAUAUCUUCUUGAAAAUGAUUAUAUAGUACAAUAAAAAAUAAGAUUAUUUAUCGUAAGAUAAUUAUACAAAAUGUAUUUUGAAUGAGUUUUACAA
Long non-coding RNA from Bombus pascuorum, 263 nucleotides. RefSeq lists it as uncharacterized. The transcript has 2 exons. Lineage: Eukaryota; Metazoa; Arthropoda; Insecta; Hymenoptera; Apidae. The record is from RefSeq and is a predicted model, not a curated record.